UAUUAUUUAAAAUGUAAAUAUGUAUAUAUUAAUAAACUUAAGUAGUAAUAGUUAUGUUCUUGAAACUUAAAAAAUUUGGCGGUAUUUUAGUCUAUUCAGAGGAACCUGUUUUAUAAUCGAUAAUCCACGAUGGACCUUACUUAAAUUUGUAAUCAGUUUAUAUACCGUCGUUAUAAGAAUAUUUUAUAAGAAUAAUAAUAUUCAAUAAUUUUUAUUAAAAUUUAUAUCAGAUCAAGGUGUAGCUUAUAUUUAAGUAUUAAUGGGUUACAAUAAAUUUAUUUAAAUGGAUAAAAUUAUGAAAAAGUUUUUGAAAGUGGAUUUGAUUGUAAAAUUAUAAAGAUUAAUAAUUUGAUUUUAGCUCUAAAAUAUGUACAUAUCGCCCGUCGCUCUUAUUAUUAAGGUAAGAUAAGUCGUAACAUAGUAGAUGUACUGGAAAGUGUAUCUAGAAUGA
This 451-nucleotide ribosomal RNA is filed under the name Drosophila nigricruria. RNAcentral describes it as "partial 12S ribosomal RNA". Lineage: Eukaryota; Metazoa; Arthropoda; Insecta; Diptera; Drosophilidae. The record is from RNAcentral.